UGCAUGCUUUUACAGUAUGAAAAUUGGUGAUUUAUAAUAACUUAGCAAAUCGCAUAGUGAAAACAGGCGAUAAAUCAUUCAAGUUUCUGACCUAUCAGCUUUCGACGGUAUGGUAUUGGCUUACCGUGGCAGUGACGGUUAACGGGGGAUUAGGGUUCGAUUCCGGAGAGGGAGCCUGAGAAACGGCUACCACAUCUAAGGAAGGCAGCAGGCGCGCAAAUUACCCAAUUCUAACAGUUUGAGAGAGGUAGUAACAAGAAAUAACAAUACAAGGCAGUUAAAAUGCUUUGUAAUUGGAAUGAUAGAAAUUUAAACCCUUUUUAAAGUAUCAAUUGGAGGGCAAGUCUGGUGCCAGCAGCCGCGGUAAUUCCAGCUCCAAUAGCGUAUAUUAAAAUUGUUGCAGUUAAAAAGCUCGUAGUUGAAGUUCUGCUAAAAGUAACCGGUCUGCUUUGAAUAAAAGUGGUAUCUUGGUAUGUAUUUAGCAAUGAUGUCCUUUGAAGUGUUUUUUACUUUAUUGUAAUAAAGCAUAUUCAGGACUUUUACUUUGAGAAAAUUAGAGUGUUUCUAGCAGGCCAACGCUUUGAAUACUGCAGCAUGGAAAUAAUAAG
RNAcentral lists this ribosomal RNA (608 nucleotides) under Hepatozoon canis. Its description in RNAcentral is "SSU rRNA". It matches the Rfam family "Eukaryotic small subunit ribosomal RNA", at positions 225 to 822 of the family's 1831-position model. Lineage: Eukaryota; Apicomplexa; Hepatozoidae. The record is from RNAcentral.